Long non-coding RNA from Bolinopsis microptera, 269 nucleotides. RefSeq lists it as uncharacterized. Lineage: Eukaryota; Metazoa; Ctenophora; Tentaculata; Lobata; Bolinopsidae. The record is from RefSeq and is a predicted model, not a curated record. The transcript is spliced from 3 exons.
UAUUGGAGGCUGCGCCUUGCCUAACAAAUUCGGAUGCCACAAGAACUACCAGAGGCGUAUCGUGGAAGAGGCAACACGUGUUAUGCACUGUAUAGCAAACAGACUGAAGUUAGCUCAGCAACACAUCGACAGUGCUGUAAUGUUCUAUAAGAUGGCUUUAAGUAAGCGAAUAUUACAAGGAAAGAGAAAGUCGCACGUGUGCGCGGCGUGUCUAUACAUUGUGUGUCGGACUGAACAUACUCCACAUAUUCUACUGGAUUUCAGUGAAA